This 76-nucleotide transfer RNA is filed under the name Anaerostipes hadrus. RNAcentral's name for it is "tRNA-Lys". It matches the Rfam family "tRNA". Rfam says of the family: Transfer RNA (tRNA) molecules are approximately 80 nucleotides in length. RNAcentral also lists the same sequence under 13 other names. The record is from RNAcentral. Lineage: Bacteria; Bacillati; Bacillota; Clostridia; Lachnospirales; Lachnospiraceae.
GCGUGAUUAGCUCAGUUGGUAGAGCACCUGACUCUUAAUCAGGGUGUCGAGGGUUCGAACCCCUCAUCGCGUACUA